This 460-nucleotide ribosomal RNA is filed under the name uncultured bacterium. RNAcentral's name for it is "partial 16S ribosomal RNA". It matches the Rfam family "Bacterial small subunit ribosomal RNA", at positions 338 to 795 of the family's 1533-position model. The record is from RNAcentral.
CCUACGGGAGGCAGCAGUGAGGAAUAUUGGUCAAUGGACGAGAGUCUGAACCAGCCAAGUAGCGUGAAGGAUGAAUGCCCAAUGUGUUGUAAACUUCUUUUAUAAAGGAAUAAAACGAGGCACGUGUGCCUGUUUGCAUGUACUUUAUGAAUAAGGAUCGGCUAACUCCGUGCCAGCAGCCGCGGUAAUACGGAGGAUCCGAGCGUUAUCCGGAUUUAUUGGGUUUAAAGGGUGCAGAGAGGGGUUGUUAAGUCAGGUGUGAAAGUUUGCGGCUCAACCGUAAAAUUGCAAUUAAAACUGGCAGUCUUGAGUACAGUUGAGGUAGGCGGAAUGCGUGGUGUAGCGGUGAAAUGCAUAGAUAUCGCGAAGAACCCCGAUUGCGAAGGCAGCUUACUAAACUGUGACUGACACUGAUGCACGAAAGUGUGGGUAUCAAACAGGAUUAGAUACCCGGGUAGUC